CCUAGUAACGGCGAGUGAAGCGGCAACAGCUCAAAUUUGAAAUCUGGCGCAAGCCCGAGUUGUAAUUUGUAGAGGAUGCUUCUGGGCAGCGGCCGUUCUAAGUUCCUUGGAACAGGACGUCAUAGAGGGUGAGAAUCCCGUAUGUGACCGGCACGUACCCUCCACGUAGCUCCUUCGACGAGUCGAGUUGUUUGGGAAUGCAGCUCUAAAUGGGAGGUAAAUUUCUUCUAAAGCUAAAUACCGGCCAGAGACCGAUAGCGCACAAGUAGAGUGAUCGAAAGAUGAAAAGCACUUUGGAAAGAGAGUUAAAAAGCACGUGAAAUUGUUGAAAGGGAAGCGCUUACAACCAGACUUCGUGGCGGUGUUCCGCCGGUCUUCUGACCGGUCUACUCGCCGCCGCGAGGCCAGCAUCGUCUGGGGCCGCCGGAUAAGACCUUGGGAAUGUAGCUUGCCUCGGUAAGUGUUAUAGCCCAUGGUGAUGCGGCGUGCCUCGGGCGAGGUCCGCGCUUCGGCAAGGAUGCUGGCGUAAUGGUUGUCAGCGGCCCGUCUUGAAACACGGACCAAGGAGUCUAACAUCUAUGCGAGUGUUCGGGUGUCAAACCCCUACGCGUAAUGAAAGUGAACGGAGGUGGGAAGCGCAAGCUGCACCAUCGACCGAUCCUGAUGUCCUCGGAUGGAUUUGAGUAAGAGCAUAGCUGUUGGGACCCGAAAGAUGGUGAACUAUGCCUGAAUAGGGUGAAGCCAGAGGAAACUCUGGUGGAGGCUCGCAGCGGUUCUGACGUGCAAAUCGAUCGUCAAAUUUGGGUAUAGGG
This 812-nucleotide ribosomal RNA is filed under the name Phaeophleospora eucalypticola. Its description in RNAcentral is "LSU rRNA". It matches the Rfam family "Eukaryotic large subunit ribosomal RNA", at positions 79 to 922 of the family's 3401-position model. The record is from RNAcentral. Lineage: Eukaryota; Fungi; Ascomycota; Dothideomycetes; Mycosphaerellales; Mycosphaerellaceae.